UAUUUUUCCAAAACCUCUUUUCUCCUCUACGACUAAUCAAAUCCGUGCUCUUCCCCAAGAACAAGUUGUUCUGCCUUUCAAAGCAAUCUAAAACACACACGCAACAGUCAAUUCUCUCUCAUCAGAACCACCUUUCUCUUCUCAUUCCUCACUCUUCAACUCAACCUUCAGCUUUGUUGUUCUUCUUCUUCUACUUUUGAUUCUCAAACACCUUAAGCAUUUUCGAUUUUUACCAUUCCAAAAUCCUCUCUAUUUUUCGAACUACAACUAUAUUUUUCAUUCUUGCUUUUGUUUUAGAUUGGACUCUACGUGUUUGAUUUUAACGAAUCAUUCUUUUGUUUUUCAGGUUAUUCAAGUGUCAUCUAUUGCUUUGUAGCUGAGUUCUUCGUCAACUGAAGUAUGGAGGUUUCUAGGAAUCUUGAUGGAGAUAAGUUUAUGGGUUUCAAUCUUUCGUUCAAAAAUGUGAAAAAAGGUUCAAUCAUUUGGUCCUGGUUUGAACUCAAAUUUUUAUGUGUAUAAGCACUAGAGUUUGUAGACUUUAGUCCUGAGGGCAGUGUCAACAAUUCAUCCUUAAGGAGAGUGCUAACUUCUUUAGAUGAACUGAUUUAGAUGCAGAGGGCAAUGUCAUGCAGAGGAUAAUGUCAACAAUUUUUACUGAUUUAGAUGAGCUGAUGUUAAAUUAGUUAUCUUUGGUUUGUUGUGUGCUAACUGCUAAGUUAUACUUUGAAACUAUCUUUGCAAUAUCUAUGGAGACUCAUUUGGCCUUAAUUUUUAGCUUACUAAGAAAGUCUUAUUUGUUUCAGGUCCAUUUGUGAAAAAACCAGGUGGCAUAGCUGAAGAAUUUGAAUAAAAUGAUAUUUUCAGAGAUAUACUAUUGACUACACUGAUUCAACGUGCAGGAUUUAUUGCGAUGUAUGCGAUGUAUUGCAAUAUGCUAUUAUUGACUACACUUAUUCAACAUUCAGAAUUUCCAAAACCAUUUAUAACGAUAUUUCGAUGCCACACCAACAAGUUUUCAGUCAUUUCAGAUCUAAAAUCUCAUGAAAAUGGAGUGGAUAACAGAGGAGGAUGUGAAAGGCAACGCUGUGUGUUUGCCUGAACAGAUUCUUGACACUUUUGAAUUGGGGUGCAGCAACAGGUUUGCUUGGUUAUUCUCAUAACUGAAAGUUGUUGUCAUUAAAAAUGAAAUUCUUGACAGAUUCAUAUUA
This is a long non-coding RNA of Vicia villosa (hairy vetch), 1208 nucleotides long. RefSeq lists it as uncharacterized. Lineage: Eukaryota; Viridiplantae; Streptophyta; Magnoliopsida; Fabales; Fabaceae. The transcript has 4 exons. The record is from RefSeq and is a predicted model, not a curated record.